GCAUAUCAAUAAGCGGAGGAAAAGAAACUAACAAGGAUUCCCCUAGUAACGGCGAGUGAAGAGGGAAGAGCUCAAAUUUUAAAUCCGCCUUGUUCGCAAGGCCGAGUUGUAAUUUGAAGAAGCGUUUUCUUGGGCUCGCUGCCGGUAGAAGUUCUUUGGAACAGGGCAUCAUAGAGGGUGACAAUCCCGUCUGUGACCGGUCGCGCGGUUCAUCUACGAUACGCUUUCAAAGAGUCGAGUUGUUUGGGAUUGCAGCUCCAAACGGGUGGUAAACAUCACCUAAGGCUAGAUAUUGGCGAGAGACCGAUAGCGAACAAGUACCGUGAGGGAAAGAUGGAAAGAACUUUGAAAAGAGAGUUAAACAGUACGUGAAAUUGUUGAAAGGGAAACGAUUGAAGCCAGUCGUACCGGCGGGUAAUCAGCCUUUCGGGUAUGAUUCUGUGGAGUGUGAGGAGCUAAACACCUUCAUGCCUGCAUAUUCGUGCUCUUGGGUGUACUUGCUCGUGUGGUAGGUUAACAUCAAUUUCGGAUGUCAUAAAAUGGCUGGAGGAAUGUAGCUUCGAUCUCGUAUUGAAGUGUUAUAGCCUUCGGUAGAUGUGGUGAUCGGGAUUGAGGAUUGCAACGGAUACCCUUCGGGGCUACCUGUCUGAUCUCUGAUUGUUGCUCUGGUGCCGAAAGCGUGCUUACGGUUAUCAAAGUCGAUGGUCAAUAGGUUAGAACGGGUUAAAUUCGUUAAGGAUGUUGACGUA
RNAcentral lists this ribosomal RNA (749 nucleotides) under uncultured Glomeromycotina. Its description in RNAcentral is "eukaryotic LSU rRNA". It matches the Rfam family "Eukaryotic large subunit ribosomal RNA", at positions 38 to 633 of the family's 3401-position model. The record is from RNAcentral. Lineage: Eukaryota; Fungi; Glomeromycota.